UGGCGGACGGGUGAGUAAUGUCUGGGAAACUGCCCGAUGGAGGGGGGUAACUACUGGAAACGGUAGCUAAUACCGCAUAACGUCGCAAGACCAAAGAGGGGACCUUCGGGCCUCUUGCCAUCGGAUGUGCCCAGAUGGGAUUAGCUAGUAGGCGGGGUAACGGCUCACCUAGGCGACGAUCCCUAGCUGGUCUGAGAGGAUGACCAGCCACACUGGAACUGAGACACGGUCCAG
RNAcentral lists this ribosomal RNA (234 nucleotides) under uncultured bacterium. Its description in RNAcentral is "partial 16S ribosomal RNA". It matches the Rfam family "Bacterial small subunit ribosomal RNA", at positions 96 to 334 of the family's 1533-position model. The record is from RNAcentral.